Molecule: transfer RNA, 77 nt
Filed under: Escherichia coli
Lineage: Bacteria; Pseudomonadati; Pseudomonadota; Gammaproteobacteria; Enterobacterales; Enterobacteriaceae
Also listed under: 1 other name
Description: tRNA-Val
Rfam family: tRNA
About the family: Transfer RNA (tRNA) molecules are approximately 80 nucleotides in length.
Source: RNAcentral
GCGUCCGUAGCUCAGUUGGUUAGAGCACCACCUUGACAUGGUGGGGGUCGGUGGUUCGAGUCCACUCGGACGCUCCA